CCAGGGGGUUCAGAUCCCACCCCAGGGGGGUCUCACCCAGCCCGGGGGGCUCCCGGCAGGUCCCGGUAGGGCAGCGAGAGGGGACACAAGACCCGACCCCAAAUCCUUUCCUGAUGGGAUCAGGGCUGGAUCCUGCCCCAUGGAGGGGUCAGAUCCCACCUGAGGGGAUCAAACCCCACCUGGAGGGGAUCAAACCCCACCUGAGGGGGUUCAGAUCCCCCCCGGGGGGUCUCACCCAGCUCGGGGGGCUCCCGGCAGGUCCCGGCAGGGCAGCGAGAAGGAAACAACACCAAACCCCAAAUCCUUUCCUGAUGGGAUCGGGACCAGAUCCCACCUGGAGGGACCAGAUCCCCCCCGGGGGGUCUCACCCAGCUCGGGGGGCUCCCGGCAGGUCCCGGCAGGGCAGCGAGAAGGAAACAACACCAAACCCCAAAUCCUUUCCUGAUGGGAUCAGGGCUGGAUCCCACCUGGAGGAAUCAGAUCC
Molecule: long non-coding RNA, 484 nt
Filed under: Cyanistes caeruleus (blue tit)
Lineage: Eukaryota; Metazoa; Chordata; Aves; Passeriformes; Paridae
Description: lncRNA (ENSCCEG00000003583.1)
Source: RNAcentral